Molecule: ribosomal RNA, 497 nt
Filed under: uncultured bacterium
Lineage: Bacteria
Description: partial 16S ribosomal RNA
Rfam family: Bacterial small subunit ribosomal RNA
Source: RNAcentral
GAUGAACGCUGGCGGCGUGCCUAAUACAUGCAAGUCGAGCGAACGGACGAGAAGCUUGCUUCUCUGAUGUUAGCGGCGGACGGGUGAGUAACACGUGGAUAACCUACCUAUAAGACUGGGAUAACUUCGGGAAACCGGAGCUAACACCGGAUAAUAUUUUGAACCGCAUGGUUCAACAGUGAAAGACGGUCUUGCUGUCACUUAUAGAUGGAUCCGCGCUGCAUUAGCUAGUUGGUAAGGUAACGGCUUACCAAGGCAACGAUGCAUAGCCGACCUGAGAGGGUGAUCGGCCACACUGGAACUGAGACACGGUCCAGACUCCUACGGGAGGCAGCAGUAGGGAAUCUUCCGCAAUGGGCGAAAGCCUGACGGAGCAACGCCGCGUGAGUGAUGAAGGUCUUCGGAUCGUAAAACUCUGUUAUUAGGGAAGAACAUAUGUGUAAGUAACUGUGCACAUCUUGACGGUACCUAAUCAGAAAGCCCCGGCUAACUACGUG